RNAcentral lists this ribosomal RNA (532 nucleotides) under Colletotrichum boninense. Its description in RNAcentral is "eukaryotic LSU rRNA". The stretch from base 172 to 325 matches the Rfam family "5.8S ribosomal RNA". Lineage: Eukaryota; Fungi; Ascomycota; Sordariomycetes; Glomerellales; Glomerellaceae. The record is from RNAcentral.
ACCCUUUGUGACAUACCUACAACUGUUGCUUCGGCGGGUAGGCCGUCCCCUGAAAAGGACGCCUCCCGGCCCGGACCGGACCCCCGUGGGGCCGGACUCGGCGCCCGCCGGAGGAUAACCAAACGCUAUUUUAACGACGUUUCUUCUGAGUGGCAUAAGCAAAAUAAUCAAAACUUUUAACAACGGAUCUCUUGGUUCUGGCAUCGAUGAAGAACGCAGCGAAAUGCGAUAAGUAAUGUGAAUUGCAGAAUUCAGUGAAUCAUCGAAUCUUUGAACGCACAUUGCGCCCGCCAGCAUUCUGGCGGGCAUGCCUGUUCGAGCGUCAUUUCAACCCUCAAGCUCUGCUUGGUGUUGGGGCUCUACGGUCGACGUAGGCCCUCAAAGGUAGUGGCGGACCCUCCCGGAGCCUCCUUUGCGUAGUAACAUUUCGUCUCGCACUGGGAUCCGGAGGGACUCUUGCCGUAAAACCCCCCAAUUUUUCAAGGUUGACCUCGGAUCAGGUAGGAAUACCCGCUGAACUUAAGCAUAUCAA